Molecule: ribosomal RNA, 203 nt
Filed under: Paenibacillus thalictri
Lineage: Bacteria; Bacillati; Bacillota; Bacilli; Caryophanales; Paenibacillaceae
Description: Paenibacillus sp. N2SHLJ1 partial 23S ribosomal RNA
Rfam family: Bacterial large subunit ribosomal RNA
Source: RNAcentral
UGGUUAAGCUAAUAAGAGCACACGGAGGAUGCCUAGGCGCUAGGAGCCGAAGAAGGACGUGGCGAACAACGAAAAGGCCUCGGGGAGCCGUAAGCAGGCAUUGAUCCGGGGAUGUCCGAAUGGGGGAACCCAGCUGAGGUAAUACUCAGUUACCAUGCAGUGAAUACAUAGCUGCUUUGGAGGCAUACGAGGGGAACUGAAAC